CCUACGGGAGGCUGCAGUGAGGAAUAUUGGUCAAUGGACGCAAGUCUGAACCAGCCAUGCCGCGUGCAGGAAGACGGCUCUAUGAGUUGUAAACUGCUUUUGUACGAAGGUAAACGCAGAUACGCGUAUCUGUAUGAAAGUAUCGUACGAAUAAGGAUCGGCUAACUCCGUGCCAGCAGCCGCGGUAAUACGGAGGAUUCAAGCGUUAUCCGGAUGUAUUGGGUUGAAAGGGUGCGUAGGCGGUUGGAUAAGUUAGAGGUGAAGUCCCGAGGCUCAACUUCGGAAUUGCCUCUGAUACUGUUCGGCUAGAGAGUAGUAGAGGUAGGCGGAAUGUAUGGUGUAGCGGUGAAAUGCUUAGAGAUCAGACAGAACACCGAUUGCGAAGGCAGCUUAC
Molecule: ribosomal RNA, 394 nt
Filed under: uncultured bacterium
Lineage: Bacteria
Description: partial 16S ribosomal RNA
Rfam family: Bacterial small subunit ribosomal RNA
Source: RNAcentral